This 280-nucleotide unclassified non-coding RNA is filed under the name Hevea brasiliensis (rubber tree). Lineage: Eukaryota; Viridiplantae; Streptophyta; Magnoliopsida; Malpighiales; Euphorbiaceae. The record is from RNAcentral.
UAGUACAGUUGGGUCGUCCAAAUCUCCUGAAAAUUCCUCAUAUUCUGCCUUUGGAUGGUCUGAGGGCAUAUAUGGAAGUAAAAUGUAAUAAUAUUUUAAAAGACUCAACUGUUUGAGCAUGCGAGAUAUCAAUAAUGAAUAUGUGGACACAUGAUUACAAAUGGAUAUUCAAAGAGUGUAUUCAAGAUAGCAAGAAAUUAUGGAACCUUGAAAUGGGCAUUCAAACCUGGAUAGCGGUAAAGCUAAGUGAAUGAGGGGAAGGAAGCAUUUGGAAACUGUA